Long non-coding RNA from Pezoporus occidentalis (night parrot), 1769 nucleotides. RefSeq lists it as uncharacterized. The transcript has 2 exons. The record is from RefSeq and is a predicted model, not a curated record. NCBI's taxonomy places the organism in Eukaryota, Metazoa, Chordata, Aves, Psittaciformes, Psittacidae.
GGCAGGGGCUGGUCCUGCCGGGAACCCAAGCGGGCAGAUCUGAGCACAAUGUCUGGCUCGCCCCUGUCCGCCGUGUGCUCGUGGAAGGCUGCCCGCGACGCCCCCCACCUUCGGGGUGAGCGCGAGGCGCGGCCAUUUGCCGCCGGUCCCCCACAAUCCCCUCAGAGCCAGGAGGUGCGGGCGGGCUAGGGCCAGAGGGGCUGUUCGUAAAGCAGAUAACACCGGCCCCGCCUCGGCGCUCCCAGUGAGCCUCUGCCGUGCCCUCUUCUCCCAAAAGUCCUAAAAUCCGGCCAUGGAGGCUGAGGUGAAGGCGGUCCUUUCAGGAAGCGUUUCCCAGAGGGGGCAGCCAGGGAGUCCCUGCCGGCGGCCGUGGGACUGCCGCGGGGGCGGACCGGAGGGUGUAGCGCUGCACAGAGGGGCUCGUCAGUGCGAUUUUCGCAAGGCAGCAGGGUUUGUGAGGAGGACGUUGACAUGGGUCUGUCUUUUUUGCCACUAAGAUGGGAAGUGCGCAUUUUCCCCUUGGGAAUUUGGCUGUCGGUGGCCGACUGGACAUUUACUCAUGAAAGGAAAGAGAACAGAGCCAGCAGUCACGUAUAUCUGCUGAUAUCCUUGAGGAACCCUUGACUGCGGCUGGAACUCGGAUCUGCUGCUGAUGUAUAAAAUGUGGUUUUGUUCUUUACAACGGUGCCUAAAGGAAUUCUUUUAAACAGUGUGCAAAAUCAACGUAAAAAAUAUAUAUAUAAAAAAGAAUCAUGUACUUAUAAUUUCACGAUUUAAGUUGCAAAACUGCCUGGCAACUCUAUGUGUGAUUAAAAUCUCCUUACGGUUUAAAGAUUCCCAACGCAACGUACUUAGGGCCGGGUUUUGCAGCUCUGACGUCAGUACAUGUGUUAGCUCUAGCUUCUGUGGGAGCAAGAUGUUCCGUUUCCUCAUAGGUUUAGUUAAGAAAAUCUAGGACUAGGUGUUCAGCAUCAGUAGUUUGACAUUCCUCCUCUGAUCUUGCUGGAUGUGCUGAUUUACGUGAGCUGAUCAACCAGACCUAAGUUUUAAACCCAAACUGUUCACAUUGAAAGAUAGACGCUGCUAAACCAUUAAAUACUGCUUACAUAGCAUUCUUAAAAGUAAACACACAAAUAUUUCCAGUGUUGUAAUGACCAAAUUCUCACUACUUCCUCUGAUUUUUCACUUCUCUCUGAAAUGCUGAUAUUAUUCUUAUGCACAAGGUUUCCUUUCUUUUUCUUUGCCUACUACAAAACAUACUAACAUUGGAGAUUUUCCAAUGACCUAAAUGACCUAAAGUAGAUGACCUACAUUUAGGGGAAAAGAAGGUUAAAGGCUGAAAAACAAGUUGUUUGGGUUUGUUUUUUUUCCUGGAAGAUACUUUGGAGAGCAAUGAUUGGCCACAAGGCCUGCUGUAGGGAAGAGUUGGGCUUUGUUUCAACCAGAGGCAAAGGGCCUUGUAACUGAAGCAAGAAUGUCCCACUUCCACUGCUUGUGUCCCAAGGUACUUAACAUGAAUGUCACACAGGAACAGUUGUCAAUAAAAACAGUACCUUUGUCAUGGUCAUUAAAAGGUGGAACUGAGCUCCCAGGGAAAAUCCAGGUCCUGAGGCUUAAGUCACUCACAAAGCUCCAUAGGAGUCCUGCAGAUUUUGUGUUACACUAGAGCAGGCUCUACUUUGUUUCAUGAAGAAACAGUUCUGAAGUUAUUUAUGGUCAGCAUCAGUGUGGGCUUAUGCUAGCAAAUAAAUGACCUCUAUUAACAUUAA